UGGGGAAUAUUGCACAAUGGAGGGAACUCUGAUGCAGCGACGCCGCGUGAGUGAUGAAGGAAUUCGUUUCGUAAAACUCUGUUCUAUGGGAAGAAAAGGACUGUACCAUAGGAGAAAGCUCCGGCUAAAUACGUGCCAGCAGCCGCGGUAAUACGUAUGGAGCGAGCGUUGUCCGGAAUUAUUGGGCGUAAAGGGUGCGCAGGCGGCUUUACAAGUUGGAUGUGAAAUAUUGUGGCUCAACCACAAACGUGCAUCCAAAACUGCAAAGCUUGAGUUAAGGAGAGGUAAGUGGAAUUCCUUGUGUAGCGGUGGAAUGCGUAGAUAUCAGGAGGAAUACCGGUGGCGCAGGCGACUUACUGGACUUAAACUGACGCUCAGGCACGAAAGCGUGGGGAGCAAACAGG
RNAcentral lists this ribosomal RNA (404 nucleotides) under Fusobacteriota bacterium. RNAcentral's name for it is "Fusobacteria bacterium partial 16S ribosomal RNA". It matches the Rfam family "Bacterial small subunit ribosomal RNA", at positions 355 to 776 of the family's 1533-position model. The record is from RNAcentral. Lineage: Bacteria; Fusobacteriati; Fusobacteriota.